RNAcentral lists this ribosomal RNA (494 nucleotides) under uncultured bacterium. Its description in RNAcentral is "partial 16S ribosomal RNA". It matches the Rfam family "Bacterial small subunit ribosomal RNA", at positions 28 to 507 of the family's 1533-position model. The record is from RNAcentral.
GACGAACGCUGGCGGCGUGCUUAACACAUGCAAGUCGAACGGUGGCGCGCCUUCCUCUUUGGCGGGCGUGGAUGAGUGGCGAACGGGUGAGUAACACGUUAGUAACCUGCCCCCUCCUUCUGGAUAACCGCAUGAAAGUGUGGCUAAUACGGGAUAUUCUGUGUCUGUCGCAUGAUGGGUCUGUGAGAGAUAUUGUUUCGGUGGGGGCUGGGGUCGCGGCCUAUCAGCGUGGUGGUGGGGUGAUGGCCUGCCAAGGCGGUGACGGGUGGCCGGCCUGAGAGGGUGGACGGUCACAGUGGGAGUGAGACGCGGCAGAGACUCCUGCGGGAGGCAGCAGGGGAGAAUAGUGCACAAUGGGCGAGAGCCUGAUGCAGCGACGCCGCGUGAGAGAUGGAGGCCUGCGGGGUAUGAACCUCUUGCGCGAGUGAAGCAGGCCUGCCUCGUUUGUCGGUGGGUUGACGGUAGCUGGAUAAGAAGCGCCGGCUAACUACGUG